UGAAUAGCAGAAUUCAGUGAAUCAUCGAAUCUUUGAACGCACCUUGCGCUCCUUGGUAUUCCGAGGAGCAUGCCUGUUUGAGUGUCAUGAAAUUCUCAACCGCCCCAAGCUCUUUGUGGGUCAGGUUGGAUCUUGGAGGACAUUGCUGGUGCGUGCUCCGUGCACGCUUGUCGGCUCCUCUUGAAUGCAUGAGCUUUCCAGUCCUUGGCAAAGUAUCGUCGAUGUGAUAGUUAUCUGCGUCGUCCGAGAAAAGCCGUGCAAGGGGAAAUCUACGAUUGUAUCGGCCCUUCGGGGUUCCGUGUCUGACAAAUUCGACCUCAAAUCAGGUAGGACUACCCGCUGAACUUAAGCAUAUCAAUAAGCGG
RNAcentral lists this small RNA (365 nucleotides) under uncultured fungus. RNAcentral's name for it is "eukaryotic LSU rRNA". The stretch from base 1 to 87 matches the Rfam family "5.8S ribosomal RNA", at positions 68 to 154 of the family's 154-position model. The record is from RNAcentral. Lineage: Eukaryota; Fungi.